AUGACUAAAUCAGAGAAGGACCACAUAAUCCAAGGAUAGGGACAAGGGAAGAGGAUGCUCUGCCAAACUGCCCCUGCUGCGUCAUAGUGGACCAGUUUCAAUGAUCCAGACUGUCAGUCACCCCAUCCAGCCUCAUCCUCAUCUGGACCCAUUUCUCACCACCCAAUCAGUUUCAAUGAUCCAGACUGUCAGUCACCCCAUCCAGCCUCAUCCUCAUCUGGACCCAUUUCUCACCACCCAAUCAGUUUCAAUGAUCCAGACUGUCAGUCACCCCAUCCAGCCACAUCCUCAUCUGGACCAGUUUCUGACCACCCAAUCAGUUUCAAUGAUCCAGACUGUCAGUCACCCCAUCCAGCCACAUCCUCAUCUGGACCAGUUUCUGACCACCCAAUCAGUUUCAAUGAUCCAAACUGUCAGUCACCCCACCCAGCCUCAUCUGGACCAGUUUCUGACGACCCAAUCAGUUUCAAUGAUCCAGACUGUCAGUCACCCCAUCCAGCCUCAUCCUCAUCUGGACCCGUUUCUGACCAACCACCCAAUCAGUUUCAAUGAUCCAGACUGUCAGUCACCCCAUCCAGCCUCAGCCUCAUCCUCAUCUGGACCCGUUUCUGACCAACCACCCAAUCAGUUUCAAUGAUCCAGACUGUCAGUCACCCCAUCCAGCCUCAGCCUCAUCCUCGUCUGGACCCGUUUCUGACGACCUAAUCAGUUUCAAUGAUCCAGACUGUCAGUCACCCCAUCCAGCCUCAUCUGGACCAGUUUCCGACGACCCAAUCUGUUUCAAUGAUCUGGACUGUCAGUCACCCCAUCCAGCCUCAUCCCAGCUCUUAACUCCUUCUGCAUAGUUCAGUUUCCUUUCUGGCAACUAAUUCCCAAUUUCCUAGAAAACCCUGAUUUUCUGAUUUAACACUGAUUCGAAUCCACUUUAAACCAAAGGAAACAGGCCGGGCGUGGUGGCUCACGCCUAUAAUCCCAGCACUCUGGGAGGCCGAAGCAGGUGGAUCACCUGAGGACAGGAGUUCAAGACCAGCCUGGCCAACAUGGUGAAAUCCCAUCUCUACUAAAAGUACAAAAAAAAAAAAAAAUUAGCUGGGUAGCUGGGUGUAGUGGCACAUGCCUAUGAUCCCAGCUACUCGGGAGGCUGAGGCAGAAGAAUCGCUUGAACUCGGGAG
RNAcentral lists this long non-coding RNA (1172 nucleotides) under Homo sapiens (human). RNAcentral's name for it is "non-protein coding lnc-FBXO45-4:1". Lineage: Eukaryota; Metazoa; Chordata; Mammalia; Primates; Hominidae. The record is from RNAcentral.